CUUUCAACAACGGAUCUCUUGGUUCUGGCUCGAUGAAGAACGCAGCAAAAUGCGAUAAGUAAUGUGAAUUGCAGAAUUCAGUGAAUCAUCGAAUCUUUGAACGCACAUUGCGCCCGCCAGUAUUCUGGCGGGCAUGCCUGUUCGAGCGUCAUUUCAACCCUCAAGCUCAGCUUGGUGUUGGGACUCGCGGUAACCCGCGUUCCCCAAAUCGAUUGGCGGUCACGUCGUCUUCCAUAGCGUAGUAAUCAUACACCUGUCUCUUCGUCGCGGCCACGCCGUAACCCCAACUUCUGAAUGUGACCUCGGAUCAGGUAGAUGCAGUUAUUUUU
This 329-nucleotide ribosomal RNA is filed under the name Fusarium equiseti. Its description in RNAcentral is "eukaryotic LSU rRNA". The stretch from base 1 to 151 matches the Rfam family "5.8S ribosomal RNA". The record is from RNAcentral. Lineage: Eukaryota; Fungi; Ascomycota; Sordariomycetes; Hypocreales; Nectriaceae.